RNAcentral lists this ribosomal RNA (312 nucleotides) under uncultured bacterium. RNAcentral's name for it is "bacterial SSU rRNA". It matches the Rfam family "Bacterial small subunit ribosomal RNA", at positions 29 to 338 of the family's 1533-position model. The record is from RNAcentral.
AAUGAACGCUGGCGGCGUGGAUUAGGCAUGCAAGUCGAACGCGAAAGUUCCCUUCGGGGAGCGAGUAGAGUGGCGAAAGGGUGAGUAAUGCUUGGAUGACCUGCCCUCGAGACGGGGACAACAGUUCGAAAGGACUGCUAAUACCCGAUAGUCCGGUUUAGAUGCGUCUAGAUCGGUAAAUGGUGCUUCCGCUCGAGGAGGGGUUCAAGUCCUAUCAGCUUGUUGGUGAGGUAACGGCUCACCAAGGCGAUGACGGGUAGCCGGACUGAGAGGUUGGCCGGCCACAUGGGAACUGAGACACUGUCCUGACCU